CCUACGGGAGGCAGCAGUGAGGAAUAUUGGUCAAUGGCCGGAAGGCUGAACCAGCCAAGCCGCGUGAAGGACGAAGGUGCCAAGCAUUGUAAACUUCUUUUGUCAAGGGACAAAAUCAGGCUCGAGAGCCUGACCGAGGGUACUUGAAGAAAAAGCAUCGGCUAACUCCGUGCCAGCAGCCGCGGUAAUACGGAGGAUGCGAGCGUUAUCCGGAUUUAUUGGGUUUAAAGGGUGCGUAGGCGGGCUGUUAAGUCAGCGGGAAAAGCCCGGGGCUCAACCCCGGCGAGCCGUUGAAACUGGGUGUCUUGAGAUGUCGAGAGGUAUGCGGAAUGCGCAGUGUAGCGGUGAAAUGCUUAGAUAUUGCGCAGAACUCCGAUUGCGAAGGCAGCAUACCGGCGGCGAUCUGACGCUGAGGCACGAAAGCGUGGGUAUCGAACAGGAUUAGAUACCCCUGUAGUC
Molecule: ribosomal RNA, 459 nt
Filed under: uncultured bacterium
Lineage: Bacteria
Description: partial 16S ribosomal RNA
Rfam family: Bacterial small subunit ribosomal RNA
Source: RNAcentral